UUGUAACGUGGUGCCGGCAGGAGCGGUAAGAGGAAGGGGAAAAGCGGUGUUCGGAAGUACUGGGCGUAAAGCGCGCGUAUGCGGACGUGUAAGUCGAUUGUGAAAGCCCUGGGCUUAACCUGGGAACUGCAGUCGAAACGGCACGUCUGGAGUGCCUGAGAGGAUGGCGGAAUUCCCGGUGUAGUAGUGAAAUACGUAGAUAUCGGGAAGAACACCUGAGGCGAAGGCGGCUAUCUGGCGGUGCACUGACGCUGAGGCGCGAAAGCGUGGGGAGCAAACAGGAUUAGAUACCCGUGUAGUC
This 301-nucleotide ribosomal RNA is filed under the name uncultured Sulfophobococcus sp. RNAcentral describes it as "bacterial SSU rRNA". It matches the Rfam family "Bacterial small subunit ribosomal RNA", at positions 495 to 795 of the family's 1533-position model. The record is from RNAcentral. Lineage: Archaea; Thermoproteati; Thermoproteota; Thermoprotei; Desulfurococcales; Desulfurococcaceae.